AUUCCAGCUCCAAUAGCGUAUAUUUAAGUUGUUGCAGUUGAAAAGCUCGUAGUUGGAUUUUGGUUAAGAGGGCGCGGUCGGCCGUUUGGUCUGUACUGCGUUGUCUUGACUUCCUGAUGAGGACAUGCUCUUGGUUAACGCUGAGACAUGGAGUCAUCGUGGUUACUUUGAAAAAAUUAGAGUGCUCAAAGCAGGCUUUUACGCCUGAAUAUUCGUGCAUGGAAUAAUAGAAUAGGAAGUCGUUUCUAUUUUGUUGGUUUUCGGAAAUCGACUUAAUGAUUAAUAGGGACAGUCGGGGGCAUUUGUAUUCAGACGACAGAGGUGAAAUUCUUGGACCGUUUGAAGACAAACUACUGCGAAAGCAUUUGCCAAGAAUGUUUUCAUCA
This 386-nucleotide ribosomal RNA is filed under the name Crustacea sp. 'Maxillopoda'. Its description in RNAcentral is "partial small subunit ribosomal RNA". It matches the Rfam family "Eukaryotic small subunit ribosomal RNA", at positions 582 to 975 of the family's 1831-position model. The record is from RNAcentral. Lineage: Eukaryota; Metazoa; Arthropoda.